Long non-coding RNA from Eriocheir sinensis (Chinese mitten crab), 3392 nucleotides. RefSeq lists it as uncharacterized. The transcript has 3 exons. The record is from RefSeq and is a predicted model, not a curated record. Lineage: Eukaryota; Metazoa; Arthropoda; Malacostraca; Decapoda; Varunidae.
UUAAGAUGAACAGGUUAAUAGAGGCAGCAUUAGGCAUUGGGGUAAGCCGAGGGGAAAGUGGAGGUUGAUCAGGAGGAGGGUGAAGAGGAGGAGGAGGAGGAGGAGGAGGGAAGUUCAGGUGCGCCCACACUUGCUCGAAACAUGAGUUCGUAACGUGUUUCAGACUGCUUCGAACCUGGUCACACGCAUAAUCCGAGUACCAGUGUAUCCGCAUCGCAUAUUCCAGGGUCCAUAUGCAAACAUUUGAGAGCUUACACACCCACAUUCAAUAAGGCUUUCGUAGAGGUUAUGGGCUUUUCCGGGGCUACUUUUAUGACCCUGGUGGUAGUUUGACCCUUCUUCUGUACCAUGAACCUCAAAAAAAUGCUCAUGAGACCCGAUUGAUCUCUUUUCUGGCCUUUGGAUAUAGUUGAUGUGAGAGCAGGAAGAGUCUGAGAGUAACGACAUUUGCCUCGAAUAUGUCACACACUUUUUCCGAGUUACCAUUGUGUCAGGAUCGCAUAUUCCUGAGCGGUGGUAGUGUUCAGUUCAGUACUCGGUCCGCUUUAGGUUAAGAUAAGUUAGAUUCAGCCCGAUUAAGUGAGGAUACGUUGCGAUAGAGACGUACUCUUUGCCGCGGGAUACAGUGAGAUGUGAGAAUAUAAUGAAGAAUGUUUGUGUGAAGAUAAAAUCGGGUCAGAGCAUAUGAGGUGUGUCUGAUAGUGCACACUCUUUGCCGGGAAAUGCACCGAGAUUAAUCAGAAGAGAAUCACGUGGUUAGUUUGUGAGCCACGACCUGUGCGUCACCUACGUCUCAGCGGCUCGGGGAGGUGCCCAUCACGCAGACAAUUCAGGAUUAUGCCUCCGGAUCAUGUUGGAAGUUAUAACCUCUACCGGAGUCAUGUUGGUAGCACUGGUGUGGACAAGGCUACGCGCUACGGACAUAAAACCAAGCCCAGUCCGUAUUCCCAGACAUUUUCGGCUCUCACAACUAUUUCAAGGCCACAAGGGACCAAGGACCAAGGGACACAAGCGGUUUUCACGUCCAUGGUGUACAAGUCUUGUCAGGCAAUCACUAGGCUCGUAAAACAACCCAUGGAAAUAUCCACAACCUCUAACAUAGCCUUAUCAAAUGUGUGUGGGGGCCCCGAAAUGUUUUAAAAUAUGAACUCAGAUAAAGCGACGACAGAGAUACGGCAGUGAAUGGAGUGAAGCAGCAGACAUUCAUGCGGGUUGACCUCUUAUCACUCAUCUCUUGUUAUGGGAUCCUGCAGAUGCCAACUAUAAGUACGAAGUGAAAGGAUAGACUCGUGGAAAACAUUGAAGGGUCGGAAUCGGUUUCGGAGCAUGCUGUCUAUAUAUAAUGGGAGCAUAUGCUAUACCUGGGCGUGGCUUCGGAGCUCAUCAGCGGCUGCGUUACCAGAUUGUCGUACUUAGCCUCUAAUGUUUUCCGAUUUCCGACCCCCAAAACUGUCUUUUCCACUCCAAUAACUACAUUUAUUUAUAGUUACCGUUGAAAGGUUUGAUUAUUAGUGUCUUUUUCCUAUAGUUAAGUGUCUAAAAACGGUAAAUACAAUGGUGGAUACGAUAAUUUUAGCGUGUGACAGAUUUCCUUCAUGUACCGAGCAGUGUUUCGAGCAAGGUUCAAAGCCAAGUGUGAUCGAACCUAUAGGGAGGGAUAGAUUAGGGUGGGGAAGGCUAGAAUAGACAGGGGGACGAUAGGGAAGACUGGGGUAAGUUUUGGUUAGCUGUGAAUAGGCUAGGAUGGGUUUGAAUAGGCUAGGGAAGGUUUGAAUAAGCUAGGGUAGGUUUGGAUAGGCUAGGGAAGGUUUGAAUAGGCUAGGGUAGGUUUGGAUAGGCUAGGGUAGGUUUGGAUAGGUUAGGGAAAGUUUGAAUAGGCUAGGGAAGGUUUGAAUAUGCUAGGGAAGGUUUGAAUAGGCUAGGGUAAGUUUGGGUAGGUCAGGACAGGCUUGGGUAGGCUGGGGUAAGCUUGGGAUAGGUUUGAAGUAGAUUUGGACUGCCUUGUUUUAUUGGGAUGUGUUGAUUGUCAUAUCUUAGUGUAUUAGAAUUAUCAUCAUCAUCAUCACUACUACUACUACUACUACUACUACUACUACUACUACUACUACAACCGGCUCACAAGGAAGAUAUCUGCGGGUCGGUCCCCUGGCUGAGUACACUAGCCGAUAACGGAGUGACCUAGUUCCUGUCUCGUCUACUUGUAGCCACGGACACAACAGGUUUCAGAGGUCGUGCCAUAUCGUUUUACGGGAAUAACUUGACAAAACGUUGGAUAAGAUGAUAAAUUAGGAGAUGUUUCAGACCUUACCCUGCUUUCGUUUAUGAUUUAUUAAGAAGAUGUGGAUGACUGUGAGACUUUUAAGAGCGCUAUAAAAACUACCCCGCGCGCUCCACUGAGACUCAACGCUUGGAAGUCCUUUGAAACUCCUUCGGGCUGGAUUGGAAGUAACUGACCUGACCCUCAAUAGACCGGAAUAUGUCAUAACUCAAGAGGGAUGGGGAGGUCGAGGGGGUGGAAUCCUCUCGUAAAAGAUGAGGUCGAGGGAAGAGAAAAUCCGAAGUGGGAAGAGAGAGGGAGGGAUGGAGGGAGAGAAAAGAGAGAGGGAGAAGGGAGGGAUGGAGGGAAAAUGGGGUAGGAUGGAGAGAGUGGGUAAGGUGGUAAUAUUUUUCUUCCAUGUGUGUUUUGUGUUUUAUUUUGCCUCUUGCGGAAGUCAGGUUCGGCUAGGUUUUCUCGCAGGAAUCUAACCUAAUAUCCCCAGUCAGCCACUUGUACUUCCGAACUUUGAGCCUCCGCGUUGCACUUUCCACUUAUCUUACCAGGCUAGACUCGGGCAAUCCUCUCGUAAAAGAUGAGGAGGUCGAGGAAAGCGAAGAUCCGUAAUGGGAAGUCAGGUUCGGCUAGGUUUUCUCGCAGGAAUCUAACCUAAUAUCCCCAGUCAGCCAGCCUGCCAAUUGUACUUCCAAAUCUUGAGCCUCCGCGUUGCACUUUCCAUUUCUCUAAUCAAGCUAGACUCGGGCAAUAUAAUCCUGGGAAUCGGAUGGAUAUUGUAGCCUUUCUCCCUAUCUCUCUGGAAGCAGAACAACGCUAUGUGGAGCCCUAAGACUUUCACUCGAGGACCACUUUGUUAAUUAAUAUAUACAAGAAGUCUUUCUCUGAUACAUUCCUCAUUUAUUAUUCAUAUUUCACUUCUUUUAUCUGUUCACCUCAAUAAGAUUCUGUUUUCCUAUUCACUUUCAUGUGUUAUCCUCGUUAAAAAAAACACAAACCUCCUCCUCCUCCUCCUCCUCCUACUACUACUACUACUACUACUACUACUACUACUACUACUACUACUACUACUACUACUACUACUAUCCCGCACUAACCUUACUUCUAGCAAACAAAUUAUCAA